RNAcentral lists this ribosomal RNA (254 nucleotides) under uncultured bacterium. RNAcentral's name for it is "partial 16S ribosomal RNA". It matches the Rfam family "Bacterial small subunit ribosomal RNA", at positions 524 to 776 of the family's 1533-position model. The record is from RNAcentral.
UACGUAGGGGGCUAGCGUUGUCCGGAAUCAUUGGGCGUAAAGAGCGUGUAGGCGGUCCGGUAAGUCCGCUGUGAAAGUCGGGGGGCUCAACCCUCGAAUGCCGGUGGAUACUGUCGGGCUAGAGUACGGAAGAGGCGAGUGGAAUUCCUGGUGUAGCGGUGAAAUGCGCAGAUAUCAGGAGGAACACCUAUUGCGAAGGCAGCUCGCUGGGACGUAACUGACGCUGAGACGCGAAGGCGUGGGGAGCAAACAGG